GACAAACGCUGGCGGCGUGCGUAACACAUGCAAGUCGAACGAGCCGGGAGACCGGCGAGUGGCGGACGGGUGAGGAACACGUGGAUAACCGACCCUUGACUGGGGAAUACCAAGACGAAAGUUUUGUUAAUACCGCAUACGCUGGAGACAGGAAAGCACUUCGGUGCGGUCGAGGACGGGUCUGCGGACGAUUAGCUAGUUGGUAGGGUAACGGCUUACCAAGGCGAUGAUCGUUAGCUGGUCUGAGAGGAUGAUCAGCCACACUGGGAUUGAGAAC
RNAcentral lists this ribosomal RNA (277 nucleotides) under uncultured bacterium. RNAcentral's name for it is "partial 16S ribosomal RNA". It matches the Rfam family "Bacterial small subunit ribosomal RNA", at positions 28 to 326 of the family's 1533-position model. The record is from RNAcentral.